Molecule: ribosomal RNA, 620 nt
Filed under: Wolbachia pipientis
Lineage: Bacteria; Pseudomonadati; Pseudomonadota; Alphaproteobacteria; Rickettsiales; Anaplasmataceae
Description: bacterial SSU rRNA
Rfam family: Bacterial small subunit ribosomal RNA
Source: RNAcentral
AACGAUGAAUGUUAAAUAUGGGGAGUUUACUUUCUGUAUUACAGCUAACGCGUUAAACAUUCCGCCUGGGGACUACGGUCGCAAGAUUAAAACUCAAAGGAAUUGACGGGGACCCGCACAAGCGGUGGAGCAUGUGGUUUAAUUCGAUGCAACGCGAAAAACCUUACCACUUCUUGACAUGAAAAUCAUACCUAUUCGAAGGGAUAGGGUCGGUUCGGCCGGAUUUUACACAAGUGUUGCAUGGCUGUCGUCAGCUCGUGUCGUGAGAUGUUGGGUUAAGUCCCGCAACGAGCGCAACCCUCAUCCUUAGUUGCCAUCAGGUAAUGCUGAGUACUUUAAGGAAACUGCCAGUGAUAAGCUGGAGGAAGGUGGGGAUGAUGUCAAGUCAUCAUGGCCUUUAUGGAGUGGGCUACACACGUGCUACAAUGGUGUCUACAAUGGGCUGCAAGGUGCGCAAGCCUAAGCUAAUCCCUAAAAGACAUCUCAGUUCGGAUUGUACUCUGCAACUCGAGUACAUGAAGUUGGAAUCGCUAGUAAUCGUGGAUCAGCAUGCCACGGUGAAUACGUUCUCGGGUCUUGUACACACUGCCCGUCACGCCAUGGGAAUUGGUUUCACUCGA